This 75-nucleotide transfer RNA is filed under the name Thermoleophilaceae bacterium. RNAcentral describes it as "tRNA-Arg". It matches the Rfam family "tRNA". Rfam says of the family: Transfer RNA (tRNA) molecules are approximately 80 nucleotides in length. Their secondary structure includes four short double-helical elements and three loops (D, anti-codon, and T loops). Further hydrogen bonds mediate the characteristic L-shaped molecular structure. tRNAs have two regions of fundamental functional importance: the anti-codon, which is responsible for specific mRNA codon recognition, and the 3' end, to which the tRNAs corresponding amino acid is attached (by aminoacyl-tRNA synthetases). tRNAs cope with the degeneracy of the genetic code in two manners: having more than one tRNA (with a specific anti-codon) for a particular amino acid; and 'wobble' base-pairing, i.e. permitting non-standard base-pairing at the 3rd anti-codon position. The record is from RNAcentral. Lineage: Bacteria; Bacillati; Actinomycetota; Thermoleophilia; Thermoleophilales; Thermoleophilaceae.
GCCUCCGUAGCUCAGCGGAUAGAGCAGGGGCCUUCUAAGCCCUGUUUGUCGCAGGUUCGAAUCCUGCCGGGGGCG